This 280-nucleotide long non-coding RNA is filed under the name Lathyrus oleraceus (garden pea). Its description in RNAcentral is "Pisum sativum (pea) long non-coding RNA (PSAT_LNC021730)". The record is from RNAcentral. Lineage: Eukaryota; Viridiplantae; Streptophyta; Magnoliopsida; Fabales; Fabaceae.
AUUGAUAAAUUAAAAUCAAAGUCAAAGUGUCACCUUAUUAAUAAAGAUGAUACAUAAAUAAAAUUUAAUAACAAAUUAUAAAAAUUCAAAAUUCAUUAAAAUGACAAAAAUAGAAUAAUUAAUUUUGUAAUUAGGAUCAUUUAUUUAAGACGCUUAAAGGAAAAAAAAUCAAAAAUGGAUUUUUUAUUUAAAAUAACCAUUUAUUUAAAAAAAAUCGAAAAUUAUCAAUUAUUCAAAAAAAUUACCAAAAUAACCGUGGUUUGAAGAGGAUGCGUCAGAC